ACGGGUGAGUAACGCGUGGGAACGUACCUUUUGGUUCGGAACAACACAGGGAAACUUGUGCUAAUACCGGAUAAGCCCUUACGGGGAAAGAUUUAUCGCCGAAAGAUCGGCCCGCGUCUGAUUAGCUAGUUGGUGAGGUAAUGGCUCACCAAGGCGACGAUCAGUAGCUGGUCUGAGAGGAUGAUCAGCCACAUUGGGACUGAGACACGGCCCAAACUCCUACGGGAGGCAGCAGUGGGGAAUAUUGGACAAUGGGCGCAAGCCUGAUCCAGCCAUGCCGCGUGAGUGAUGAAGGCCCUAGGGUUGUAAAGCUCUUUUGUGCGGGAAGAUAAUGACGGUACCGCAAGAAUAAGCCCCGGCUAACUUCGUGCCAGCAGCCGCGGUAAUACGAAGGGGGCUAGCGUUGCUCGGAAUCACUGGGCGUAAAGGGUGCGUAGGCGGGUCUUUAAGUCAGGGGUGAAAUCCUGGAGCUCAACUCCAGAACUGCCUUUGAUACUGAAGAUCUUGAGUUCGGGAGAGGUGAGUGGAACUGCGAGUGUAGAGGUGAAAUUCGUAGA
RNAcentral lists this ribosomal RNA (557 nucleotides) under uncultured bacterium. RNAcentral describes it as "bacterial SSU rRNA". It matches the Rfam family "Bacterial small subunit ribosomal RNA", at positions 102 to 694 of the family's 1533-position model. RNAcentral also lists the same sequence under 1 other name. The record is from RNAcentral.